AUGGAGCUCAAUGUUCACCUUCGCGAUUUUGACGGUGAGCCCUUGUCUGGUCCGACACGUUAUCGUCAUCUUGUUGGGAGUCUUGUCUAUCUUGUUGUCACUCGUCCAGAUAUCCCCUAUCAUGUCCAUAUUCUGAGUCAGUUUGUUUCUGCUCCCACUUCAGUUCACUAUAAUCACCUUCGUGUUCUACGAUAUCUUCAUGGCACGAUUUCUCAUCGUCUCUUUUUCCCUCGUUCUAGCUCGUUACAGCUCCAGGCCUAUUCCGAUGCUACAUGGGCUAGUGAUCCUUCAUAUCGCCGUUCACUUUUUGCUUACUGUGUUUUUCUUGGUGGUUCUCUCAUUGCCUAG
This 348-nucleotide ribosomal RNA is filed under the name Triticum aestivum (bread wheat). Its description in RNAcentral is "partial small subunit ribosomal RNA". The record is from RNAcentral. Lineage: Eukaryota; Viridiplantae; Streptophyta; Magnoliopsida; Poales; Poaceae.